Molecule: ribosomal RNA, 253 nt
Filed under: uncultured bacterium
Lineage: Bacteria
Description: partial 16S ribosomal RNA
Rfam family: Bacterial small subunit ribosomal RNA
Source: RNAcentral
GACAGAGGAGCCAAGCGUUGUCCGGACUGACUGGGCGUAAAGCGCACGCAGGUGGUCGCGCAAGUGUCGUGUGAAAGCCCUCGGCUUAACUGAGGGAGGCCAUGGCAGACUGCGCAACUCGAGCCGUGUAGAGGUCCGUGGAAUUGCCGGUGUAGUGGUGAAAUGCGUAGAGAUCGGCAGGAACACCGAUGGGGAAGCCAGCGGACUGGGCACGUGCUGACGCUGAGAUGCGACAGCGUGGGGAGCGAACUGG